UGACCUGCGUAGAAGAGAUACCUCUGCCACACUGCAGGAAAACAGAGAGGGCCAUUUUCUGUGGCAACGCAUCAGCUGUUUGGAUUAAUUAGAGCCAUAACCCUGCAUUGACUUCAAGAGACAGGGGUUAGAGGAAGGUUUCUUUGGAAAGGCUGGAUACAAUAGGACAUGACUGUGGCUUAGUAAGGCCUUCUUUUCCAUCUGGAAACUAUUCUAUGCUCCAUAUCGUGGAACAAGACUUCUUCUCGUCUACGAACAAAGAGAGAUCCAUCCACCCCAGCUUCCUGAUUCUUCUGAGCUCACUCUGCAGCAUGAAUGGGAGUUUGAAGGAAGCUGCCCCAUUAGGCCCCCACUGUUAAUCCUUAGAUGUUGAUCAGGUUGGCCUAGCUGUCCAUCCAGCCAUCCAUCUAGGCACAAUUUGCAGCAAAGAAGGAACAUGGAGGUGGGGAAAGGGAGAGAAAAGUUGGCCUUCCAAGCCACCUCCUAACACAGCCUUACAAGGCAGAAACCUUGACAAUGUUGCUGCUAGCAGUGGUAAUGUUCACAGAGCGGCUGGGGCUGGAGGGCGGAGGCCUGCUUUCGGCUUCUGGAGUCAGAGCCGGUGGUGUGGGGAUGCUGAUGAUUGCUGUUGUGAUUUGGGAGGCUUUGCAGUUCGGUCUCAGCCCAUCAUCUGAUUUCAUAUUUAGGCUGGAACGACUAGAAGACAAAAUACAGUGGUUUGUUUUUUUUAAAAAAGUCCUUCAUAAUGAUCUUCCCAUCAGUACGAAAAUCUCAAUACUCACAUCUCAUUCAAACAUACCUUACAACUUUCAUUGUAAUAAUAAAAUCUUGGGCGGCACUUUAACUUUAGAGAUCUUGUUAUUCAGAAAUAAACAAAUUUCUUCCACAAUGCUCCAA
Hemicordylus capensis (graceful crag lizard) is the source of this 897-nucleotide long non-coding RNA. RefSeq lists it as uncharacterized. The transcript has 2 exons. Lineage: Eukaryota; Metazoa; Chordata; Lepidosauria; Squamata; Cordylidae. The record is from RefSeq and is a predicted model, not a curated record.